UACAGAGGGUGCAAGCGUUAAUCGGAAUUACUGGGCGUAAAGCGCGCGUAGGUGGUUUGUUAAGUUGGAUGUGAAAUCCCCGGGCUCAACCUGGGAACUGCAUCCAAAACUGGCAAGCUAGAGUAUGGUAGAGGGUGGUGGAAUUUCCUGUGUAGCGGUGAAAAUGCGUAGAUAUAGGAAGGAACACCAGUGGCGAAGGCGACCACCUGGACUGAUACUGACACUGAGGUGCGAAAAAGCGUGGGGGAGCAAACAGG
Molecule: ribosomal RNA, 257 nt
Filed under: uncultured bacterium
Lineage: Bacteria
Description: partial 16S ribosomal RNA
Rfam family: Bacterial small subunit ribosomal RNA
Source: RNAcentral